UAAGGAAUAUUGGUCAAUGGAGGCAACUCUGAACCAGCCAUGCCGCGUGCAGGAUGAAGGCGCUAUGCGUCGUAAACUGCUUUUGUACCAGAGAAAACCUUUCUACGUGUAGAGAGUUGAUAGUAUGGUAAGAAUAAGGAUCGGCUAACUUCGUGCCAGCAGCCGCGGUAAGACGAAGGAUCCAAGCGUUAUCCGGAUUCAUUGGGUUUAAAGGGUGCGUAGGCGGGUUUGUAAGUCAGUGGUGAAAUCCUAUCGCUUAACGAUGGAACUGCCAUUGAUACUGCAGACCUAGAAUAUAGAUGAUGUUGGCGGAAUAUGACAUGUAGCGGUGAAAUGCAUAGAUAUGUCAUAGAACACCGAUUGCGAAGGCAGCUGACAAAACUAUAAUUGACGCUGAUGCACGAAAGUGCGGGGAUCAAACAGGAUUAGAUACCCCCGUAGUCC
RNAcentral lists this ribosomal RNA (444 nucleotides) under uncultured bacterium. Its description in RNAcentral is "bacterial SSU rRNA". It matches the Rfam family "Bacterial small subunit ribosomal RNA", at positions 355 to 796 of the family's 1533-position model. The record is from RNAcentral.